GAGCGGAAAGGCCCUUCGGGGUACUCGAGCGGCGAACGGGUGAGUAACACGUGAGCAACCUGCCCCUAGCUCUGGGAUAGCUCCGGGAAACCGGGAUUAAUACCAGAUACGACCACUUUAGACAUCUGCUGUGGUGGAAAGGAUUCCGGCUAGGGAUGGGCUCGCGGCCUAUCAGCUUGUUGGUGGGGUAACGGCCUACCAAGGCGACGACGGGUAGCCGGCCUGAGAGGGCGACCGGCCACACUGGGACUGAGACACGGCCCAGACUCCUACGGGAGGCAGCAGUGGGGAAUAUUGCGCAAUGGGCGAAAGCCUGACGCAGCGACGCCGCGUGGGGGAUGAAGGCCUUCGGGUUGUAAACCCCUUUCAGCAGGGACGAAGCGAAAGUGACGGUACCUGCAGAAGAAGCGCCGGCUAACUACGUG
RNAcentral lists this ribosomal RNA (425 nucleotides) under uncultured bacterium. RNAcentral describes it as "bacterial SSU rRNA". It matches the Rfam family "Bacterial small subunit ribosomal RNA", at positions 64 to 507 of the family's 1533-position model. The record is from RNAcentral.